This 495-nucleotide ribosomal RNA is filed under the name uncultured bacterium. RNAcentral describes it as "partial 16S ribosomal RNA". It matches the Rfam family "Bacterial small subunit ribosomal RNA", at positions 28 to 507 of the family's 1533-position model. The record is from RNAcentral.
GACGAACGCUGGCGGCGUGCCUAAUACAUGCAAGUAGAACGCUGAAGGAGGAGCUUGCUCUUCUGGAUGAGUUGCGAACGGGUGAGUAACGCGUAGGUAACCUGCCUGGUAGCGGGGGAUAACUAUUGGAAACGAUAGCUAAUACCGCAUAAGAGUAGAUGUUGCAUGACAUUUACUUAAAAGGUGCAAUUGCAUCACUACCAGAUGGACCUGCGUUGUAUUAGCUAGUUGGUGGGGUAACGGCUUACCAAGGCGACGAUACAUAGCCGACCUGGAAGGGUGGUCGGCCACACUGGGACUGAGACACGGCCCAGACUCCUACGGGAGGCAGCAGUAGGGAAUCUUCGGCAAUGGACGGAAGUCUGACCGAGCAACGCCGCGUGAGUGAAGAAGGUUUUCGGAUCGUAAAGCUCUGUUGUAAGAGAAGAACGAGUGUGAGAGUGGAAAGUUCACACUGUGACGGUAUCUUACCAGAAAGGGACGGCUAACUACGUG